Molecule: non-coding RNA, 970 nt
Organism: Petromyzon marinus (sea lamprey)
Lineage: Eukaryota; Metazoa; Chordata; Hyperoartia; Petromyzontiformes; Petromyzontidae
Source: RefSeq, a predicted model, not a curated record
UAAAUGUGUGUUUGUUCUCGCGCAACACGGCGCCUUUCACUCUGGGCCAGGCCGGUUGGGCUGUCGUGUCAGCCACGCCGUGAUGGCUCUGGGCUGGCAGGGAGAAGAGGCGAGGAGGGGCACGGGGAGCGUUAAGCAGAACAACAAAGGCGGCGAGUUGAUGACUCCAAUCAGGUGGAUGGAAUUCCAAUCAAUUAGGGAGUGGCCGUGUGGGAGACUCUUGAGAGACGCCCACUCGCUCGCCCUCCCUCUCUCUCUCUCUGGCAAGGUGUUCACACGGCCGUCGGCUCGAGAUGGAGUCCUGGCGCACGGUGACCAGCACGGGACGGGUUCAGCGAGUUACGGAGAGACUGAGAACUUUACACGGCGGUGUUUUAUUAAUUUUGUAGAGAGUUGACUACGAAGAGUUCUGAAGACUUGGAACAGACGAAUGCCACAGGGUGAGCGGAGAAGUUGAAGCCCCGGUUCUGGAGAGACCCCCCUCCCACAGGCUGAAGGUGAACGUCGCGUUUCGACGGAAGAAGGCCCUUUUCAUCGGUCGCUGGAGCGGAGAGCACGGGACGAGGCGAGAGGGGAGAGGCCGCCUCCAGCGAGGCCACAGAGCAUCUCGGAGAGAGUGACGUCGAUCUUGCGGUUACGUGUCCGGCACACGGCCGAGGAGUCCGAACGUCCCGAAGAGGCAGGACCCUCCUGAGAGGGAGGCCCCCCCGAGACUCGGCGAGGCUCCGCAGGGCCGGUGGGUGGUGGUGGUGGGGGGCGUAAGUGGCGGUGCGGGCACGCGCGCGGCCGCACGAGACCCGCGUCUCGGGCAGUUUCGCGCCUCCCGGCUAAAAUCGCGAGCAAACGUCGACCGCUCAUGGCACCGCCGUGACGGAGUGCGCCGCUCGCGCCCCGCUUUGGACGUACGACGGUGAUCGGGGUGCGUGGGGGUGUAACAAACAAAAAACGGGGCGAAAUUUUUUUCCUUCUU